CAUUAUGCUAUCCAAUGGUUGAUAUCGCUUAAAAAGAUACAUCAUUCUUUCACAUGAAAGAUAUAAUUCAAAUCCAUUUUCAAUCAAGUUUCAUCAGCAAUGAUCAAAUCUUCAGAAUCGUUAUAACAGUAAAAAUAAGCUUCUCUUGCUUCAUUUCGCCAUCCAGUCAACAGUAGAUGGGGGUUGUAGCGUCCCCAUCCACAUGUGACCCAUCACCUUUACCUCCUUUAAUUCAUCAUUAAGCAAAAAGUCUCUCACACCGUCACUCUCAUAUUUCUAAUCAACAUAGAUAUUUUUGCAAUCCAGUUAGGUAGUGAUCCUUGUAUGUUUUCCUUUAGCUGGGAAGGCCACGUCUUGCUGUUGUUGCAUCCUUCUCUUCAGUGCGAGCUUUCUUUCUGGCUUCUAGUACUUGUUAUGUUUCAGGCCAAAGAGUUGGUGUGGAUGGGUUGCUUGGCUUUCGUGAAACCUCUGCAACUAUUCUAACUCUUCAAGAUAGGGCAGGAGGAUGCUUUAAUUUGUGUCC
Molecule: long non-coding RNA, 523 nt
Filed under: Elaeis guineensis (African oil palm)
Lineage: Eukaryota; Viridiplantae; Streptophyta; Magnoliopsida; Arecales; Arecaceae
Description: long non-coding RNA (EGUI_LNC030553)
Source: RNAcentral